AAAGUCGUAACAAGGUUACCGUAGGUGAACCUGCGGUAGGAUCAUUAACAAUCCAAUACCUACCAAACCCAUGUGAACUACACUUGACUGUGGUGUCGGGCGACCGCGCUUGCCGCCUAGCUUGGCACCACUACCCAACAGAACCCCAAGUCAGCGUCAGCCCAAGUGUCUUGAAAUUUUAACAAAUCUCAAACAACUUUUAGCAACGGAUCUCUUGGCUCUC
RNAcentral lists this unclassified non-coding RNA (223 nucleotides) under Ascomycota sp. Its description in RNAcentral is "partial contains small subunit ribosomal RNA, internal transcribed spacer 1, and 5.8S ribosomal RNA". The stretch from base 1 to 47 matches the Rfam family "Eukaryotic small subunit ribosomal RNA", at positions 1785 to 1831 of the family's 1831-position model. Lineage: Eukaryota; Fungi; Ascomycota. The record is from RNAcentral.